This 994-nucleotide small RNA is filed under the name Pan troglodytes (chimpanzee). RNAcentral describes it as "retained intron". The record is from RNAcentral. Lineage: Eukaryota; Metazoa; Chordata; Mammalia; Primates; Hominidae.
UUGCGCGAGGCCCACGACGCCUUCCGCUCCUCCCUCAGCUCUGCCCAGGCUGACUUCAACCAGCUGGCCGAGCUGGACCGCCAGAUCAAGAGCUUCCGCGUAGCCUCCAACCCCUACACCUGGUUUACCAUGGAGGCCCUGGAGGAGACCUGGAGGAACCUACAGAAAAUCAUCAAGACAGGGUGUUGCUAUGUUGCCCAGGCUGGUCUUCAACUCCUGGCCUCAAGCAAUCCUCCUGCCCAGGCCUCCCAAAGUGGUGGGAUUACAGGUGUGAGCCACUGUACCCAGCCAGAAGUUUCCAUUUCUGACAGUCCAGCAACUCCCUGCUUGACUGACCAGUCGCUUCCCUCCAGGAGAGGGAGCUGGAGCUGCAGAAGGAACAGCGGCGGCAGGAGGAGAACGACAAGCUGCGCCAGGAGUUUGCCCAGCACGCCAACGCCUUCCACCAGUGGAUCCAAGAGACCAGGUGCCAGCCCGCUGGGGCCGGGGAGCAGCAGCAUGUCCCUGCUGUACUUAAGCCCUGGGGAGCUUCCAGCCCCAAGGAGGUGGUGGUGCUUUGUGUAAAACCAGAGGCAGCCUGGGAAUAAAGCUGGGCUGGCAACGCCUGGUCGGGCUCUGGAGCCGGGAGUGGGGGCAUAGGUGGAGCAGCCUCUCAGUGCUGCAUGUCCCAGACAUCAAGUUGUUAGAGAUCCCGGAUUGAGUGGGACCAUGCAAGGCGCGUGGUCAGCCCCAGCCGUGACUUGGUGACAGACGAUGCAGGGUCUAUGCAUUGGGUACUGAUGUUCUUGCUUUUGUUUUCCUUUCUUUCUUGUGUCUUCUCUCUGUCCCCCCCGAUUGCUGCUGUUGUCCGGACACCACCUUGUCUCCCGGCUGCUUGGAUCUGCUCUCCACAGGACAUACCUCCUCGAUGGGUUAAUAUUGUUUUCUUCCUUCUCUGGGCUUGUCGUGUGGGGGUCUCGUGCGCUUGCCCCUCGUGGCCUGGCUUGUGGAGGAU